CGUAGGGUGCGAGCGUUAAUCGGAAUUACUGGGCGUAAAGCGUGCGCAGGCGGUUUGUUAAGAUAGGCGUGAAAUCCCCGGGCUCAACCUGGGAACUGCGCUUAUGACUGGCAAGCUAGAGUACGGCAGAGGGGGUGGAAUUCCACGUGUAGCAGUGAAAUGCGUAGAGAUGUGGAGGAACACCAAUGGCGAAGGCAGCCCCCUGGGUCGAUACUGACGCUCAUGCACGAAAGCGUGGGUAGCAAACAGGAUUAGAUACCCUGGUAGUCCACGCCCUAAACGAUGUCAACUAGGUGUUGGGAGGGUAAAACCUUUUAGUACCGGAGCCAACGCGUGAAGUUGACCGCCUGGGGAGUACGGCCGCAAGGUUA
Molecule: ribosomal RNA, 371 nt
Filed under: uncultured organism
Description: bacterial SSU rRNA
Rfam family: Bacterial small subunit ribosomal RNA
Source: RNAcentral